RNAcentral lists this small RNA (1696 nucleotides) under Pongo abelii (Sumatran orangutan). RNAcentral describes it as "processed transcript". The record is from RNAcentral. Lineage: Eukaryota; Metazoa; Chordata; Mammalia; Primates; Hominidae.
AUCUGAGAAUGAGGCCCUUUUCCAUUUGAUAAUAUAUUAACAGAUGUAUAUGAAAGGGAUGGUGACUGGUCUGCAUAUCACAUUUGCUAAAUAAAGAACAUUAUUGACAGGGCAUUACACUCGAAGAGUUUGACAGAUUAUCUUUCAAUAUGAUUUUAAUGAGCCCUCCGUGCCAGCCAUUCACAAGGAUUGGCCGGCAGGGUGAUAUGACUGAUUCAAGGACGAAUAGCUUCUUAUAUAUUCUAGAUAUUCUCCCAAGAUUACAAAAAUUACCAAAGUAUAUUCUUUUGGAAAAUGUUAAAGGUUUUGAAGUGUCUUCUACAAGAGACCUCUUGAUACAAACAAUAGAAAAUUGUGGCUUUCAGUACCAAGAGUUUCUAUUAUCUCCAACCUCUCUUGGCAUUCCAAAUUCAAGGCUACGAUAUUUUCUUAUUGCAAAGCUUCAGUUAGAGCCAUUACCCUUUCAAGCCCCUGGUCAGGUACUGAUGGAGUUCCCCAAAAUUGAAUCUGUACAUCCACAAAAAUAUGCAAUGGAUGUAGAAAAUAAAAUUGAAGAAAAGAACAUUGAACCAAAUAUUAGCUUUGAUAGCAGCAUACAGUGUUCUGGAAAAGAUGCCAUUCUUUUUAAGCUUGAAACUGCAGAAGAAAUUCACAGGAAAAAUCAACAGGAUAGUGAUCUCUCUGUGAAAAUGCUAAAAGAUUUUCUUGAAGAUGACACUGACAUGAACCAGUAUCUUUUGCCACCAAAGUCAUUGCUGCGAUAUGCGCUUCUAUUAGACAUUGUUCAGCCCACUUGUAGAAGGUCCGUGUGCUUUACCAAAGGAUAUGGAAGCUACAUAGAAGGGACAGGGUCUGUGUUACAGACUGCAGAGGAUGUGCAGGUUGAGAAUAUCUACAAAUCCCUUACCAAUUUGUCACAAGAAGAACAGAUAACAAAGCUGUUAAUGCUUAAACUGCGAUAUUUCACUCCUAAAGAAAUAGCAAAUCUCCUUGGAUUUCCUCCAGAGUUCGAUGAGCAAUCAGACAUACUCUUGAAGACAGAAAAGAGAUUAACUAUCUAAUUAAAAUGAAUUCCUCAGCUUUUUUCUAGGGCUUUUUUGUUUUCAAAGGGCAGUAGUCACUUUGGUAAUACUGAACCUUGGUAAGGAGCACAGAGCCCAGAGUCAGACUGAGUGAUUUCAUAUCCCAGCCCCACCUUAACCAUUCCCUUCUUUAGUUUACUUCUCUGUAAAAUGAGGAUAAUCAUAACUCCUGCUUCAUAGAGUUAUUGUGAUAGUUAAAUGAGUUAAUGUUUAUGAAAUUCUUAUAUAAUAUCUGAGACAUAAUGUAAAAUUUGUUUUAGCUUUCAUUUUUAGAAUGAGCCAUUUAUUUACUUUUAUAAUCUUUAUUUCAUAAAUAUUUUCUCAUUUUUAAAAAUUUUAAGUGGGUAAAAUAGAAUUUUUCAAAGCUCUCUGAAUAUAUAUGUAUAAUACUUAGAAAAACAGCCUUUGAAAUUACUGAACCUCCUUUUGAAAUACGUGAUAUGUUUGUGGAGUUGAGCUUACCCUGUUGUCGCCACUGAGCAGCACCGUGACACAACUGUCCUUCCUGUGUGUUUCCAACAUUAUUGACCUUGGGUCCAAAAAUGGGCAUUGUUUGAGCUGUUUGUCUACUGGCAAUGAUGGAUCUGCAUUAAUCCUUCCAAACGCUCUGUCCU